Molecule: ribosomal RNA, 245 nt
Filed under: uncultured bacterium
Lineage: Bacteria
Description: partial 16S ribosomal RNA
Rfam family: Bacterial small subunit ribosomal RNA
Source: RNAcentral
CACGCCCUAAACGAUGUCAACUGGUUGUUGGGUCUUUACUGACUCAGUAACGAAGCUAACGCGUGAAGUUGACCGCCUGGGGAGUACGGCCGCAAGGUUGAAACUCAAAGGAAUUGACGGGGGCCCGCACAAGCGGUGGAGCAUGUGGUUUAAUUCGAUGCAACGCGAAGAACCUUACCUGGCCUUGACAUGUCUGGAAUCCUGCAGAGAUGCGGGAGUGCCUUCGGGAAUCAGAACACAGGUGC